GGACUCGCAAGACUCCCGUAAACCACUGUGAACUUACCUACAACCCGUUGCCUCGGCGGGUGCUCCGGGCGCGUCUUCGGGCGCUCCGGGGCGCUCCAGCCCGCCGGCGGCCCCUAAACUCUGUCUCUGUAACGUUGGCAUCUCCGAGCAGACUAUAAACGAGUCAAAACUUUCAACAACGGAUCUCUUGGUUCUGGCAUCGAUGAAGAACGCAGCGAAAUGCGAUAAGUAAUGUGAAUUGCAGAAUUCAGUGAAUCAUCGAAUCUUUGAACGCACAUUGCGCCCGCCAGCACUCUGGCGGGCAUGCCUGUCCGAGCGUCAUUUCAACCCUCAGGCCCCGCCUGGCGUUGGAGCCCUGCGCAGCGCAGGCUCCCAAAGACAGCGGCGGGCGCGCCCCGGAACCGAGCGCAGUAAUGCUUUCUCGUUCUGGUCCGGCGCGCGCUCCGGCCGUAAAACCCCCAACUUUCUAAGUGGUUGACCUCGGAUCAGGUAGGAAUACCCGCUGAACUUAAGCAUAUCAAUAAGCGGAGGAAAAGAAACCAACAGGGAUUGCCUCAGUAACGGCGAGUGAAGCGGCAACAGCUCAAAUUUGAAAUCUGGCCCCCCGGCCCGAGUUGUAAUUUGCAGA
Molecule: ribosomal RNA, 628 nt
Filed under: fungal sp.
Lineage: Eukaryota; Fungi
Description: eukaryotic LSU rRNA
Rfam family: 5.8S ribosomal RNA (bases 168-321)
Source: RNAcentral